Oncorhynchus tshawytscha (Chinook salmon) is the source of this 1222-nucleotide long non-coding RNA. RefSeq lists it as uncharacterized. The record is from RefSeq and is a predicted model, not a curated record. Lineage: Eukaryota; Metazoa; Chordata; Actinopteri; Salmoniformes; Salmonidae. The transcript is spliced from 4 exons.
UGUGCAGACUCAGGACAACUGAGCUUUGGAGGAAUACGCAGAUUUAAAGAGGCAUCCGUAAUUUGCUUUCUAAUGAUCUUUCCUUCAAAGAAGUUCAUGAAUUUAUUACUGAGAGAGAUGAUGUAGGCGAUCAUGGCCCGAUCCAUGUGGAACGAAGAGGACUGUAGUUCGAACACCAGAGACAACUGAGUGAGGAACCCCUUGCAUCCUCCCAGGUGGCCGUCAUACCGCUCGGGGGCUGGAAUCUUGGGUUCCCGGUGCAGGUUCCCUGGAGGAACUACGACGACGCCUGUAGAACUGGGUGAUGAGACUUGGACAUCGGCUCCUCCUGGGUUGAGGUUGGACUGUGGUUGGAGGGAGUCGAACAAGGUCAGUUGUGGAGCGCACCAUCGGACUGCUGAAGGGCAGGUGGCGUUGCAUUGAUUCAUCAGGUGGAAAACUCCUCUACAAACCAGAAGGUGAUACGCAUAAUACUGGCAUGUGGUGUGCUCCACAACAUAGCCCUGAAGCAUGGUAUUGAAAUGUAUGCAGAGAUUAGAAUGGACCCCCAAGAGCCUCCUAACCCACCACCCAAUGGAGCACCUGCCCCGGCUGAUGCAGUGAGGAAGAGGCGGCAGCUCAUAGAGAUUGGUGGAUGAGGCGGUGAACUGUGGACUCAGACGUGGAAGCACCCUCACUCCUGGCACCUGCUGAUUUGAAAACCUCACGCACUUUAUCCCUGGGUGUAGGGUGCACGGGCUGCAAUGCAGCUUCCCUUGGUGGAGGGGGCACGGGCUGCAAUGCAGCUUCCCUUGGUGGAGGGGGCACGGGCUGCAAUGCAGCUUCCCUUGGUGGAGGGGGCACGGGCUGCAAUGCAGCUUCCCUUGGUGGAGGGGGCACCUUCUCUUCAUUACAUUCUCUUAAUUACUUACCGUGAUCCAGUCAUGCAGUCGUGGGAGUUUUGCGCACCGACUUUCCGAUGUUACUGCUAAAGAUGUAAAAGUUGGUAUUAAACCAUAUGAAAAAUAAAAAACAUAAUAGAAGAAGCUCGCCUUUUUUUAAACAUUCACUGUCGCGGUCAGAUCAUGUGCCAGUGUAUGUGCUUUCUCCGAUGCGCUGGUCUAUUUGGGAGCGCUCCGCCGUGAUCUCGUCUUCCAAUAAGUUUGCUUUUCUCUUUUGGUCCAUGGCUUUUCCAUUGCUCAUCCAUAUUUAAGUAUACAUAUUCAUUCCUUUACACUUGUAU